GACGAACGCUGGCGGCGUGCUUAACACAUGCAAGUCGAACGGAAAGGCCCUGCUUGCAGGGUACUCGAGUGGCGAACGGGUGAGUAACACGUGGGUGAUCUGCCCUGCACUUCGGGAUAAGCCUGGGAAGCUGGGUCUAAUACCGGAUAGGAGCCAUUUUUAGUGUGAUGGUUGGAAAGUUUUUUCGGUGUAGGAUGAGCUCGCGGCCUAUCAGCUUGUUGGUGGGGUAAUGGCCUACCAAGGCGGCGACGGGUAGCCGGCCUGAGAGGGUGGACGGCCACAUUGGGACUGAGAUACGGCCCAGACUCCUACGGGAGGCAGCAGUGGGGAAUAUUGCACAAUGGGCGCAAGCCUGAUGCAGCGACGCCGCGUGGGGGAUGACGGCCUUCGGGUUGCAAACUCCUUUCGCUAGGGACGAAGCUUUUUGUGACGGUACCUAGAUAAGAAGCACCGGCUAACUACGUG
Molecule: ribosomal RNA, 465 nt
Filed under: uncultured bacterium
Lineage: Bacteria
Description: partial 16S ribosomal RNA
Rfam family: Bacterial small subunit ribosomal RNA
Source: RNAcentral